RNAcentral lists this ribosomal RNA (329 nucleotides) under uncultured eukaryote. Its description in RNAcentral is "partial 18S ribosomal RNA". It matches the Rfam family "Eukaryotic small subunit ribosomal RNA", at positions 1470 to 1796 of the family's 1831-position model. The record is from RNAcentral.
CCCUUAGAUGUUCUGGGCCGCACGCGCGCUACACUGAUACGUUCAACGAGUCCAAAACCUUGAUUGAUAGGUCUGGGUAAUCUUUUGAAGACGUAUCGUGCUAGGGAUAGAUUAUUGCAAUUAUUAAUCUUGAACGAGGAAUUCCUAGUAAACGCAAGUCAUCAGCUUGCAUUGAUUACGUCCCUGCCCUUUGUACACACCGCCCGUCGCACCUACCGAUUGAAUGACUCGGUGAAAAAUUGGCACUGUGAUUGAAAUUGCUUCAUUGCGAAUUUAAUUAUGGAAACUUUCUUUAACCUAGGCAUUUAGAGGAAGGUGAAGUCGUAACA